Molecule: ribosomal RNA, 1471 nt
Filed under: Lactiplantibacillus plantarum
Lineage: Bacteria; Bacillati; Bacillota; Bacilli; Lactobacillales; Lactobacillaceae
Description: bacterial SSU rRNA
Rfam family: Bacterial small subunit ribosomal RNA
Source: RNAcentral
GGCGGCGUGCCUAAUACAUGCAAGUCGAACGAACUCUGGUAUUGAUUGGUGCUUGCAUCAUGAUUUACAUUUGAGUGAGUGGCGAACUGGUGAGUAACACGUGGGAAACCUGCCCAGAAGCGGGGGAUAACACCUGGAAACAGAUGCUAAUACCGCAUAACAACUUGGACCGCAUGGUCCGAGUUUGAAAGAUGGCUUCGGCUAUCACUUUUGGAUGGUCCCGCGGCGUAUUAGCUAGAUGGUGGGGUAACGGCUCACCAUGGCAAUGAUACGUAGCCGACCUGAGAGGGUAAUCGGCCACAUUGGGACUGAGACACGGCCCAAACUCCUACGGGAGGCAGCAGUAGGGAAUCUUCCACAAUGGACGAAAGUCUGAUGGAGCAACGCCGCGUGAGUGAAGAAGGGUUUCGGCUCGUAAAACUCUGUUGUUAAAGAAGAACAUAUCUGAGAGUAACUGUUCAGGUAUUGACGGUAUUUAACCAGAAAGCCACGGCUAACUACGUGCCAGCAGCCGCGGUAAUACGUAGGUGGCAAGCGUUGUCCGGAUUUAUUGGGCGUAAAGCGAGCGCAGGCGGUUUUUUAAGUCUGAUGUGAAAGCCUUCGGCUCAACCGAAGAAGUGCAUCGGAAACUGGGAAACUUGAGUGCAGAAGAGGACAGUGGAACUCCAUGUGUAGCGGUGAAAUGCGUAGAUAUAUGGAAGAACACCAGUGGCGAAGGCGGCUGUCUGGUCUGUAACUGACGCUGAGGCUCGAAAGUAUGGGUAGCAAACAGGAUUAGAUACCCUGGUAGUCCAUACCGUAAACGAUGAAUGCUAAGUGUUGGAGGGUUUCCGCCCUUCAGUGCUGCAGCUAACGCAUUAAGCAUUCCGCCUGGGGAGUACGGCCGCAAGGCUGAAACUCAAAGGAAUUGACGGGGGCCCGCACAAGCGGUGGAGCAUGUGGUUUAAUUCGAAGCUACGCGAAGAACCUUACCAGGUCUUGACAUACUAUGCAAAUCUAAGAGAUUAGACGUUCCCUUCGGGGACAUGGAUACAGGUGGUGCAUGGUUGUCGUCAGCUCGUGUCGUGAGAUGUUGGGUUAAGUCCCGCAACGAGCGCAACCCUUAUUAUCAGUUGCCAGCAUUAAGUUGGGCACUCUGGUGAGACUGCCGGUGACAAACCGGAGGAAGGUGGGGGAUGACGUCAAAUCAUCAUGCCCCUUAUGACCUGGGCUACACACGUGCUACAAUGGAUGGUACAACGAGUUGCGAACUCGCGAGAGUAAGCUAAUCUCUUAAAGCCAUUCUCAGUUCGGAUUGUAGGCUGCAACUCGCCUACAUGAAGUCGGAAUCGCUAGUAAUCGCGGAUCAGCAUGCCGCGGGUGAAUACGUUCCCGGGCCUUGUACACACCGCCCGUCACACCAUGAAGAGUUUGUAACACCCAAAGUCGGGUGGGGUAACCUUUUAGGAACCAGCCGCCUAAGGUGGGACAG